GGGGAUGUGGUUUAGGGGUAUAACGUUUCAUUCGCAUGUCCGCGCCUUGAAAAGGUCCCGGGUUCGAUUCCCGGCAUCUCCA
Transfer RNA from Schizosaccharomyces japonicus yFS275, 82 nucleotides. It matches the Rfam family "tRNA". From Rfam's summary of the family: Transfer RNA (tRNA) molecules are approximately 80 nucleotides in length. The record is from Rfam. Lineage: Eukaryota; Fungi; Ascomycota; Schizosaccharomycetes; Schizosaccharomycetales; Schizosaccharomycetaceae.